This 366-nucleotide unclassified non-coding RNA is filed under the name Hevea brasiliensis (rubber tree). Lineage: Eukaryota; Viridiplantae; Streptophyta; Magnoliopsida; Malpighiales; Euphorbiaceae. The record is from RNAcentral.
AUGGAUUUAUCAGGAUCCAUUUUUCCCAGUAGUGGUAUAGCCUCUAUCAUGGUUUUUGUUUUUGGGCCCUGUGAAGGUCAAAAGCAAUAAUAUCUUCGGGAUGACAUAACACGAGAAUUGAUUUCUACUGGGCACCCCUCUCUUGCUCGUUGGAGUCUUUAAGCAAGUCUUGGAUCUCUUUGUCAAGAAGAGCAGUGUCAGGCGAAAUCUGAACUAAGGAUUUCAUGGUCAUAUUAUUGGAGUUCGAUUGGAUACGUUGGGAUUAUACCAAUUCUAGCCAAUUUCUCUAGUAAAAGCUUGUUGCAUUGUUGUUUGGCGUAAAGGCAGAACAAAUUGCAGUGAUACGAGCUCAGCUGUUUGAGAAAG